This is a non-coding RNA of Zea mays, 89 nucleotides long. The record is from Rfam. NCBI's taxonomy places the organism in Eukaryota, Viridiplantae, Streptophyta, Magnoliopsida, Poales, Poaceae.
GGUUAGCAGGAGUGAUGAACCAAUUAGAUGUGCGAAGCUAUCUUAUGGGCUUAACUUUUGAGGCAUACAUUCUGUCUGACCUGCCAGUC